GAUGAACGCUAGCUACAGGCUUAACACAUGCAAGUCGAGGGGCAGCAUGAUUGAAGCUUGCUUCAAUCGAUGGCGACCGGCGCACGGGUGAGUAACACGUAUCCAACCUGCCGAUAACUCGGGGAUAGCCUUUCGAAAGAAAGAUUAAUACCCGAUAGUAUAGUAUUUCCGCAUGGUUUCACUAUUAAAGAACUUCGGUUAUCGAUGGGGAUGCGUUCCAUUAGAUAGUUGGCGGGGUAACGGCCCACCAAGUCAACGAUGGAUAGGGGUUCUGAGAGGAAGGUCCCCCACAUUGGAACUGAGACACGGUCCAAACUCCUACGGGAGGCAGCAGUGAGGAAUAUUGGUCAAUGGACGAGAGUCUGAACCAGCCAAGUAGCGUGAAGGAUGACUGCCCUAUGGGUUGUAAACUUCUUUUAUACGGGAAUAAAGUGGAGUAUUCAUACUCCUUUGUAUGUACCGUAUGAAUAAGGAUCGGCUAACUCCGUG
Molecule: ribosomal RNA, 489 nt
Filed under: uncultured bacterium
Lineage: Bacteria
Description: partial 16S ribosomal RNA
Rfam family: Bacterial small subunit ribosomal RNA
Source: RNAcentral